This 584-nucleotide unclassified non-coding RNA is filed under the name Hevea brasiliensis (rubber tree). The record is from RNAcentral. Lineage: Eukaryota; Viridiplantae; Streptophyta; Magnoliopsida; Malpighiales; Euphorbiaceae.
GGAGCAAUUCUAACACAAUAGACAGGGAAUCCUGUGUAGAAUUUGAAUGGUCCUCCCGACUUGAGAGUCUUCAUGGCACAGUCUAAAGAACCAGUGUAGGGAUACUUUCCCUCAGCAUCAGGUUGCAUUUUCUGAAUUUGAGUUUUAACAUAAUCAAAAGGAAGACUGCAGGCUGAAGCAAAGAACCCUGAAACGGAACUUGCACCUAGCACCGUAGCAGCUUCACCAAAACCAAGGGAAUCCCUGAAAAACUCAACACUUUGAUCAUAAGAAGCAAGCAUCCCCAUGUUCAAUGCCAUUGCUCUCACAACUGUAGGGCCUGCACCUUUCCAGAGUGCCAAAACUCCUUCAUCUGCAACAAUACGAUAAAGUGCAUGGAAGGCAUUUGUGUAAUUUCGGCGCUGAGCAGCAGGCAAAGUGGCAUCAGCCUGCAUGCGGAUAAGUGCCAAAUCUGCUGGACUGCCAACGGAUGCUCCAAUAGCACCAGCAGUUAGCCCACACAAGGCCUUCUGAUAUAGAGGAAGGGGCUUCCCAUCAUUGGCUUCAAUUGCUUUAUUGGUCAAAAUCUUGAAUGAUCCAAGUCG